CGCAGCUAACUGUGUGAAAUCGUGUGAACUGCAGGACACAUGAACAUCGACAUUUUGAACGCACAUUGCGGUCCAUGCGAAUGUUUAAUGUAUUAAACUGCAUGGACCACGUAUGGUUGAGUGUCGUAAAUAUAAUAAGCAGAACAUAUUGUUUGUUUUUAAAACAUUGGGGUUAUGAAUGACUCGUUCUCAUUCAUGCUCUGAAUACUGUUGUAGUAUGAGAGGCACAUUUUGAAUAUGUACCCGAGAAAGACGUAAUACUUACAUAGAGGUAUAUAUCAUAGUCAUUGAAUUAAUUUCCAUACGACCAUUGUUUAUAUACUCUCGCUUGUAUGUCAUUGCAAGGGGAUUUAUUCGUUAAAAAAUGUGUGCAAAAUCAUAAAGCGCGACCUCAACUCAUGCGUGACUACCCCCUGAAUUUAAGCAUAUUAAUAAGCGGAGGAAAAGAAACUAACCAGG
RNAcentral lists this ribosomal RNA (459 nucleotides) under Phlebotomus fontenillei. RNAcentral's name for it is "eukaryotic LSU rRNA". The stretch from base 387 to 459 matches the Rfam family "Eukaryotic large subunit ribosomal RNA", at positions 1 to 73 of the family's 3401-position model. Lineage: Eukaryota; Metazoa; Arthropoda; Insecta; Diptera; Psychodidae. The record is from RNAcentral.